This 497-nucleotide ribosomal RNA is filed under the name uncultured bacterium. Its description in RNAcentral is "partial 16S ribosomal RNA". It matches the Rfam family "Bacterial small subunit ribosomal RNA", at positions 28 to 507 of the family's 1533-position model. The record is from RNAcentral.
GAUGAACGCUGGCGGCGUGCCUAAUACAUGCAAGUCGAGCGAACAGACGAGGAGCUUGCUCCUCUGACGUUAGCGGCGGACGGGUGAGUAACACGUGGAUAACCUACCUAUAAGACUGUGAUAACUUCGGGAAACCGGAGCUAAUACCGGAUAAUAUAUUGAACCGCAUGGUUCAAUAGUGAAAGACGGUUUUGCUGUCACUUAUAGAUGGAUCCGCGCCGCAUUAGCUAGUUGGUAAGGUAACGGCUUACCAAGGCAACGAUGAGUAGCCGACCUGAGAGGGUGAUCGGCCACACUGGAACUGAGACACGGUCCAGACUCCUACGGGAGGCAGCAGUAGGGAAUCUUCCGCAAUGGGCGAAAGCUUGACGGAGCAACGCCGCGUGAGUGAUGAAGGUCUUCGGAUCGUAAAACUCUGUUAUUAGGGAAGAACAAAUGUGUAAGUAACUAUGCACGUCUUGACGGUACCUAAUCAGAAAGCCACGGCUAACUACGUG